UCGUUUACUUGGCAAAUUCGAAGGACGA
Molecule: non-coding RNA, 28 nt
Filed under: Bombyx mori (domestic silkworm)
Lineage: Eukaryota; Metazoa; Arthropoda; Insecta; Lepidoptera; Bombycidae
Source: RNAcentral